This 72-nucleotide transfer RNA is filed under the name Kordia algicida OT-1. RNAcentral describes it as "tRNA-Thr". It matches the Rfam family "tRNA". Rfam says of the family: Transfer RNA (tRNA) molecules are approximately 80 nucleotides in length. Lineage: Bacteria; Pseudomonadati; Bacteroidota; Flavobacteriia; Flavobacteriales; Flavobacteriaceae. RNAcentral also lists the same sequence under 7 other names. The record is from RNAcentral.
GCCGGUGUAGCUCAGGGGUAGAGCGUUUCCUUGGUAAGGAAGAGGCCACGGGUUCAAAUCCCGUCAUUGGCU